GUCUUGAUACAUCCGCCAUGUCUCUUCCUCUAGAUAACAAUGAUGCUGUGUUGCUGAAGUUGAAGGAAAGAACAAAUUCUGUCAGUCAUUGCAACAUGUGAAUAUCACAUCUGAGCCAGAAACCAGAGACUGUACACCCAGCCAUGGAAUCUUCUUUGCUGCCCCAGGGACCCAUAGGGGAACAUUCAAAUGGAGAAAGGGUCCAAUAUUCUGCAAGAGGAGAACCAGCAAUACACAUUUCAGCACCCACGCAAGAUUCAACACUUGCAACCUGUCAGUACAUUGCUGGCCUCCUUGGGAGGAUCACUGAACAACAAGAUGGCAUCAUGCGAGAACUACGGGCAAUGCGCAGGGAAAUGAGGCUAAUGAAAGGUGAACAGCGCCGGACUAAUGCCAGAGUGAUCUCAUUGGCACAGGAACUUGCAGCGUUCAAGGAAUGUUGACAGUGGCAAUAAAAGUUGACAUCA
This is a long non-coding RNA of Crotalus tigris (Tiger rattlesnake), 467 nucleotides long. RefSeq lists it as uncharacterized. The record is from RefSeq and is a predicted model, not a curated record. The transcript has 3 exons. NCBI's taxonomy places the organism in Eukaryota, Metazoa, Chordata, Lepidosauria, Squamata, Viperidae.